Molecule: ribosomal RNA, 582 nt
Filed under: uncultured fungus
Lineage: Eukaryota; Fungi
Description: eukaryotic LSU rRNA
Rfam family: 5.8S ribosomal RNA (bases 217-370)
Source: RNAcentral
CUUGGUCAUUUAGAGGAAGUAAAAGUCGUAACAAGGUCUCCGUUGGUGAACCAGCGGAGGGAUCAUUACCGAGUUUACAACUCCCAAACCCCUGUGAACAUACCACUUGUUGCCUCGGCGGAUCAGCCCGCUCCCGGUAAAACGGGACGGCCCGCCAGAGGACCCCUAAACUCUGUUUCUAUAUGUAACUUCUGAGUAAAACCAUAAAUAAAUCAAAACUUUCAACAACGGAUCUCUUGGUUCUGGCAUCGAUGAAGAACGCAGCAAAAUGCGAUAAGUAAUGUGAAUUGCAGAAUUCAGUGAAUCAUCGAAUCUUUGAACGCACAUUGCGCCCGCCAGUACUCUGGCGGGCAUGCCUGUUCGAGCGUCAUUUCAACCCUCAAGCACAGCUUGGUGUUGGGACUCGCGUUAAUUCGCGUUCCUCAAAUUGAUUGGCGGUCACGUCGAGCUUCCAUAGCGUAGUAGUAAAACCCUCGUUACUGGUAAUCGUCGCGGCCACGCCGUUAAACCCCAACUUCUGAAUGUUGACCUCGGAUCAGGUAGGAAUACCCGCUGAACUUAAGCAUAUCAAUAAGCGGAGGA